RNAcentral lists this transfer RNA (72 nucleotides) under Alphaproteobacteria bacterium. RNAcentral describes it as "tRNA-Arg". It matches the Rfam family "tRNA". From Rfam's summary of the family: Transfer RNA (tRNA) molecules are approximately 80 nucleotides in length. The record is from RNAcentral. Lineage: Bacteria; Pseudomonadati; Pseudomonadota; Alphaproteobacteria.
CGUAGCUCAGCUGGAUAGAGCGCUGCCCUCCGAAGGCAGAGGUCAGAGGUUCGAAUCCUCUCGAGUGCGCCA